This is a long non-coding RNA of Octopus bimaculoides (California two-spot octopus), 2159 nucleotides long. RefSeq lists it as uncharacterized. NCBI's taxonomy places the organism in Eukaryota, Metazoa, Mollusca, Cephalopoda, Octopoda, Octopodidae. The record is from RefSeq and is a predicted model, not a curated record.
AGCGGCUUAAAUAAAACGAUGACCAAUGAGAUCUACUGCGAGAAACUUGAGCGACUUAAAUUAAACGAUGACAAAUGAGAUCUACUGCGCGAAAUUUGAGCGACUUAAAUAAAACGAUGACAAAUGAGAUCUACUGCGCGAAAUUUGAGCGGCUUAAAUAAAACGAUGACAAAUGAGAUCCACUGCGAGAAACUUGAGCGACUUAAAUAAAACGAUGACAAAUGAGAUCUACUGCGAGAAACUUGAGCGGCUUAAAUAAAAGGAUGACAAAUGAGAUCUACUGCGUGAAACUUGAGCGGCCUAAAUAAGACGAUGACAAAUGAGAUCUACUGCGAGAAAUUUGAACGGCUUAAAUAGAACGAUGACAAAUGAGAUCUACUGCAAGAAAUUUGAGCGGCUUAAAUAAAACGAUGACAAAUGAGAUCUACUGCGCGAAACUUGAGCGACUUAAAUAAAACGAUGACAAAUGAGAUCUACUGCGAGAAACUUGAGCGGCUUAAAUAAAACGAUGACAAAUGAGAUCUACUGCGAGGAACUUGAGCGGCUUAAUUCAUCGCUAGAUGAAAACUACAAUCUUUGGUUUCAAGACAAAAGGUUUUCUUCCACCAGAAUAAUGCUCGGCCAUAUACAGUGAGAUGACAUUCCAAAGGUUGGAGGAGUUUGAAUGAAAAACGAUGUCCUACCCACCAUAUUCACCGGACAACAGCAUAUCUGAUAAUCGGUAGACGAAUUUAGAACAGUAAUGGAGGUGUAUUUUUUCCAACGGACAAGUGAAUUAUGCAAGAGUGGCUUUGCAAGUGUACCAGAUAGUUGGAAGAGCACUGCAGAAAAUGAAGGCGCUGAAUUGAAUCAUCAUAUAGCCGCUAUCAUAAUGUAAAGAACAACUUUACCAGCAUACACCAACAACAGGACACUCAAAUAUGAUUAUCGAGACCGGGUUUGACUACUUCAACUGGCAUGACUGAUAAACUCCAUCGUGUAUAUGGCAGGAAUCACAGCAACACAUGGCGAAUGAACUGAAAAGUAGAAUCACUCCAGAUUAUACAACAUCGAGUUCAAAUGAAGCAAUGCCAAGAGCCACCGAAUGAUGGGAACACAAGGUGUGAUAAUAAACUUGCCUAGACAAUAUCUCCAAUAUAUGAAACUAUUUUCUUUAGUCAUUAUACAGUAAUCGCUUGUAAGUGUAUUGGACAAUAGAAAUUUUGAUGCAUUUCCCCAGAAAAUGACAAUUAUAUGAUCUUCAAGAGACACUCAAUUAAAUUAUCAUAUAGCUGCUACAGCAAUAUGAAGGGCACCUUCGCCAGUAAACACCUCCAAGAGCCCACACUCAAUUGUAAUCAUCGAUACCAAUCGUGCCUACUUAACGAGGCAUGACUGAACAAUUUCAUCGUAUAUCUGGCAGAAAUCACAGCAACGGUACACGAUGACCUGAAUGAAAUGUAGAAGUACGACUGGUUAUUCAAUGUUGAUUUCAAGUGAGGUUUUUCUCAGAGCAACGGACUGCUUGGUAACAAAAUGUAUGUUAUUAAAAGAAGAACAUUUUCGAAGUAAACACUUCCAAUAGCCUACGCUCAAUUGUGAUUAUCGAGGCCGAUCUAGCCUACUUAAUCAAACAUGACUGAUAAACUCCAUCGUAUAUCACAGAAACACUACAUGAUAACAAAUAUGAAAAGAAUUACGUUGGACUAUAUGAUAUCAUCACCAAAUGAUGCUGUCCACAGAGACUCCGCAGGCUUGGUGACACAAAUACUUGGGUAGACUACGUUUUCAGUGCAUUAAACAAUUAGAAACCUGUAACUCAAUAAUGUGUACGUUAUAUGGGUGUAUAAAUGUGUGUGUGUUUUUGCGUGUGUAUGUGUCUGCGUGUGCAUGUAUACGUUUCUUUGUGUGUGUGGGUAUUAAGCAAAAAAUCAUGUCCAUUUCCUUGUACACAAACAUAUAUGCAUACACACGCACACGGCGAAAAUCUUCGUUUUUGCUCUAGACGUUGAAAUUGGCACUGAACUAACAGUUGUGAACAAAAUUACGCACAAUUUACUUUUACAGUAAACUAAAGGAAACGGCUUUCCAAUGCCGAAAGAAAAAGAAUCAUAACAUUGCAAAAGCCAUUUAAAAAAAUCGUGAAUCUAUUUACGAAAAUGAAAUUUCUUUUAUGCCAA